RNAcentral lists this ribosomal RNA (497 nucleotides) under uncultured bacterium. Its description in RNAcentral is "partial 16S ribosomal RNA". It matches the Rfam family "Bacterial small subunit ribosomal RNA", at positions 28 to 507 of the family's 1533-position model. The record is from RNAcentral.
GAUGAACGCUGGCGGCGUGCCUAAUACAUGCAAGUCGAGCGAACAGACGAGGAGCUUGCUCCUCUGACGUUAGCGGCGGACGGGUGAGUAACACGUGGAUAACCUACCUAUAAGACUGGGAUAACUUCGGGAAACCGGAGCUAAUACCGGAUAAUAUAUUGAACCGCAUGGUUCAAUAGUGAAAGACGGUUUUGCUGUCACUUAUAGAUGGAUCCGCGCCGCAUUAGCUAGUUGGUAAGGUAACGGCUUACCAAGGCAACGAUGCGUAGCCGACCUGAGAGGGUGAUCGGCCACACUGGAGCUGAGACACGGUCCAGACUCCUACGGGAGGCAGCAGUAGGGAAUCGUCCGCAAUGGGCGAAAGCUUGACGGAGCGACGCCGCGUGAGUGAUGAAGGUCUUCGGAUCGUAAAACUCUGUUAUUAGGGAAGAACAAAUGUGUAAGUAACUAUGCACGUCUUGACGGUACCUAGUCAGAAAGCCACGGCUAACUACGUG